RNAcentral lists this long non-coding RNA (1097 nucleotides) under Piliocolobus tephrosceles (Ugandan red Colobus). Its description in RNAcentral is "lncRNA (ENSPTEG00000012080.1)". Lineage: Eukaryota; Metazoa; Chordata; Mammalia; Primates; Cercopithecidae. The record is from RNAcentral.
GGCUUGUCUAAAUGCUCCCUGUGUAGGGUGUCCGCUGAGUUCUGUCUGGUGUUGGCGGAACUGAGUUCCAAUGCAAAGUCCCACAAUUGCUGUACUCUCCUUCCCCCAAGCACACGUAUUCCCUCUGCACACUACAUGUCCGCUGCUGGGGAAUGGGAGAGGGGUAGCAUAGUAAUUCCAGACUGUCCUUUCUACCCUCUUCAGUGUCUCUUUCAGUGAUGUUAAGUUAAAACUAGGUACUGUGAUCACUCACCUGAUUUUGUUUCUUAUGACGGUGCUUUUUUGUGUGUAAAUAAUUGUUAAAUUUCGUGUUUCUGUGAGGAGGAUGAUCAGUAGAGGAUUUUAUUCAGCCAUAUUGCUCUGCUUCCCCCCCUUUUUGUUUUUUGUUUUUUAGAUGCGGUCCUGCUCUGUCACCUGGGCUGAAGUACAGUGGUGUGAUGAUAGUUUACUGCAGCCUCAAACUCCUAGCCUCAAGUGAUCUUCUUGCCUCAUCAUCCUGAGUAGGAAAAAAGGAAGGACAAGAACUAGCCUCAAUCCAGCCCAAUUAGACUUCCCCCAAGUGUAACAAGCCAAUGACAACCAAUGAUGGAGGCAGUGUUUACAAGGAUCUUGAUGGAUCAUUUAAAAACUCUUUAAAAGAUUCAGGGAAACCACCCAGCCAGAAGCUUGAUAUCAAGACCCAAUGCAUCUACUUGUGUCUCCAAGUUUUGGAAUCCCGAAGCCCAAAGAGGAAGUGAGGAGCCCCAGGUCCCACCAUCAGGUAAGCAGCAGAGUCUGGGAAGGACCUGGAUGUUGCGAUUCUAGCCCAUGUUCUUUUCACGACCCAGCAUUCAACCAUCGGCAAUUUCUUUUCCAAUAUUUACCACUUUUAUAAAUUAAUAUAUGAAUAGAUUUUCUUCCAAUGUGCUUCUUACACUACAAUUGAUCUUGAAAAUACAGAUAAAAAUGUAAGUUCUCUGAUUCAAGGAUUACAGGACUUCCAAACAUCAUUUAUAGUAUUUAAAAAACUGCAAUUUUAAUUUCCAUGGAAAUUGUGGCUUAUAGCAAUAAUAAUUCCAUUACUGUUGAUGAACCAACCGAGUUAAUACAGUUUGUGU